UGGGGAAUCUUGCGCAAUGGGCGAAAGCCUGACGCAGCGAUGCCGCGUGCGGGAUGAAGGCCCUCGGGUUGUAAACCGCUUUCAGCAGGGACGAAAUUGACGGUACCUGCAGAAGAAGCCCCGGCCAACUACGUGCCAGCAGCCGCGGUAAUACGUAGGGGGCGAGCGUUGUCCGGAUUUAUUGGGCGUAAAGAGCUCGUAGGCGGUUUGGUAAGUCGGGUGUGAAAUCUCCAGGCUCAACCUGGAGAGGUCACCCGAGACUGCCAUGACUAGAGUCCGGUAGGGGUGUGUGGAAUUCCUGGUGGAGCGGUGAAAUGCGCAGAUAUCAGGAGGAACACCCGUAGCGAAGGCGGCACACUGGGCCGGUACUGACGCUGAGGAGCGAAAGCGUGGGGAGCGAACAG
This 404-nucleotide ribosomal RNA is filed under the name uncultured bacterium. RNAcentral describes it as "bacterial SSU rRNA". It matches the Rfam family "Bacterial small subunit ribosomal RNA", at positions 355 to 775 of the family's 1533-position model. The record is from RNAcentral.